GAUGAACGCUGGCGGCGUGCCUAAUACAUGCAAGUCGAGCGAACGGACGAGAAGCUUGCUUCUCUGAUGUUAGCGGCGGACGGGUGAGUGACACGUGGAUAACCUACCUAUAAGACUGGGAUAACUUCGGGAAACCGGAGCUAAUACCGGAUAAUAUUUUGAACCGCAUGGUUCAAAAGUGAAAGACGGUCUUGCUGUCACUUAUAGAUGGAUCCGCGCUGCAUUAGCUAGUUGGUAAGGUAACGGCUUACCAAGGCAACGAUGCAUAGCCGACCUGAGAGGGUGAUCGGCCACACUGGAACUGAGACACGGUCCAGACUCCUACGGGAGGCAGCAGUAGGGAAUCUUCCGCAAUGGGCGAAAGCCUGACGGAGCAACGCCGCGUGAGUGAUGAAGGUCUUCGGAUCGUAAAACUCUGUUAUUAGGGAAGAACAUAUGUGUAAGUAACUGUGCACAUCUUGACGGUACCUAAUCAGAAAGCCACGGCUAACUACGUGCCAGCAGCCGCGGUAAUACGUAGGUGGCAAGCGUUAUCCGGAAUUAUUGGGCGUAAAGCGCGCGUAGGCGGUUUUUUAAGUCUGAUGUGAAAGCCCACGGCUCCACCGUGGAGGGUCAUUGGAAACUGGAAAACUUGAGUGCAGAAGAGGAAAGUGGAAUUCCAUGUGUAGCGGUGAAAUGCGCAGAGAUAUGGAGGAACACCAGUGGCGAAGGCGACUUUCUGGUCUGUAACUGACGCUGAUGUGCGAAAGCGUGGGGAUCAAACAGGAUUAGAUACCCUGGUAGUCCACGCCGUAAACGAUGAGUGCUAAGUGUUAGGGGGUUUCCGCCCCUUAGUGCUGCAGCUAACGCAUUAAGCACUCCGCCUGGGGAGUACGACCGCAAGGUUGAAACUCAAAGGAAUUGACGGGGACCCGCACAAGCGGUGGAGCAUGUGGUUUAAUUCGAAGCAACGCGAAGAACCUUACCAAAUCUUGACAUCCUUUGACAACUCUAGAGAUAGAGCCUUCCCCUUCGGGGGACAAAGUGACAGGUGGUGCAUGGUUGUCGUCAGCUCGUGUCGUGAGAUGUUGGGUUAAGUCCCGCAACGAGCGCAACCCUUAAGCUUAGUUGCCAUCAUUAAGUUGGGCACUCUAAGUUGACUGCCGGUGACAAACCGGAGGAAGGUGGGGAUGACGUCAAAUCAUCAUGCCCCUUAUGAUUUGGGCUACACACGUGCUACAAUGGACAAUACAAAGGGCAGCGAAACCGCGAGGUCAAGCAAAUCCCAUAAAGUUGUUCUCAGUUCGGAUUGUAGUCUGCAACUCGACUACAUGAAGCUGGAAUCGCUAGUAAUCGUAGAUCAGCAUGCUACGGUGAAUACGUUCCCGGGUCU
This 1372-nucleotide ribosomal RNA is filed under the name uncultured bacterium. Its description in RNAcentral is "bacterial SSU rRNA". It matches the Rfam family "Bacterial small subunit ribosomal RNA", at positions 28 to 1381 of the family's 1533-position model. The record is from RNAcentral.